RNAcentral lists this ribosomal RNA (879 nucleotides) under Metapseudomonas otitidis. RNAcentral describes it as "bacterial SSU rRNA". It matches the Rfam family "Bacterial small subunit ribosomal RNA", at positions 62 to 936 of the family's 1533-position model. Lineage: Bacteria; Pseudomonadati; Pseudomonadota; Gammaproteobacteria; Pseudomonadales; Pseudomonadaceae. RNAcentral also lists the same sequence under 1 other name. The record is from RNAcentral.
UCGAGCGGAUGAGUGGAGCUUGCUCCAUGAUUCAGCGGCGGACGGGUGAGUAAUGCCUAGGAAUCUGCCUGGUAGUGGGGGAUAACGUUUCGAAAGGAACGCUAAUACCGCAUACGUCCUACGGGAGAAAGUGGGGGAUCUUCGGACCUCACGCUAUCAGAUGAGCCUAGGUCGGAUUAGCUAGUUGGUGGGGUAAUGGCCCACCAAGGCGACGAUCCGUAACUGGUCUGAGAGGAUGAUCAGUCACACUGGAACUGAGACACGGUCCAGACUCCUACGGGAGGCAGCAGUGGGGAAUAUUGGACAAUGGGCGAAAGCCUGAUCCAGCCAUGCCGCGUGUGUGAAGAAGGUCUUCGGAUUGUAAAGCACUUUAAGUUGGGAGGAAGGGCAGUAAGUUAAUACCUUGCUGUUUUGACGUUACCAACAGAAUAAGCACCGGCUAACUUCGUGCCAGCAGCCGCGGUAAUACGAAGGGUGCAAGCGUUAAUCGGAAUUACUGGGCGUAAAGCGCGCGUAGGUGGUUCAGCAAGUUGGAUGUGAAAGCCCCGGGCUCAACCUGGGAAUUGCAUCCAAAACUACUGAGCUAGAGUACGGUAGAGGGUGGUGGAAUUUCCUGUGUAGCGGUGAAAUGCGUAGAUAUAGGAAGGAACACCAGUGGCGAAGGCGACCACCUGGACUGAUACUGACACUGAGGUGCGAAAGCGUGGGGAGCAAACAGGAUUAGAUACCCUGGUAGUCCACGCCGUAAACGAUGUCGACUAGCCGUUGGGAUCCUUGAGAUCUUAGUGGCGCAGCUAACGCGAUAAGUCGACCGCCUGGGGAGUACGGCCGCAAGGUUAAAACUCAAAUGAUUUGACGGGGGCCCGCACAAGCGGUGGA